GACGAACGCUGGCGGCGUGCUUAACACAUGCAAGUCGAACGGAAAGGCCCUGCUUUUGUGGGGUGCUCGAGUGGCGAACGGGUGAGUAACACGUGAGUAACCUGCCCUUGACUUUGGGAUAACUUCAGGAAACUGGGGCUAAUACCGGAUAGGAGCUCCUGCUGCAUGGUGGGGGUUGGAAAGUUUCGGCGGUUGGGGAUGGACUCGCGGCUUAUCAGCUUGUUGGUGGGGUAGUGGCUUACCAAGGCUUUGACGGGUAGCCGGCCUGAGAGGGUGACCGGCCACAUUGGGACUGAGAUACGGCCCAGACUCCUACGGGGGGCAGCAGUGGGGAAUAUUGCACAAUGGGCGGAAGCCUGAUGCAGCAACGCCGCGUGCGGGAUGACGGCCUUCGGGGUGUAAACCGCUUUCGCCUGUGACGAAGCGUGAGUGACGGUAAUGGGUAAAGAAGCACCGGCUAACUACGUG
This 468-nucleotide ribosomal RNA is filed under the name uncultured bacterium. RNAcentral's name for it is "partial 16S ribosomal RNA". It matches the Rfam family "Bacterial small subunit ribosomal RNA", at positions 28 to 507 of the family's 1533-position model. The record is from RNAcentral.